UCCAGACUCCUACGGGAGGCAGCAGUAGGGAAUCUUCGGCAAUGGACGAAAGUCUGACCGAGCAACGCCGCGUGAGUGAAGAAGGUUUUCGGAUCGUAAAACUCUGUUGGUAGAGAAGAACGUUGGUGAGAGUGGAAAGCUCAUCAAGUGACGGUAACUACCCAGAAAGGGACGGCUAACUACGUGCCAGCAGCCGCGGUAAUACGUAGGUCCCGAGCGUUGUCCGGAUUUAUUGGGCGUAAAGCGAGCGCAGGUGGUUUAUUAAGUCUGGUGUAAAAGGCAGUGGCUCAACCAUUGUAUGCAUUGGAAACUGGUAGACUUGAGUGCAGGAGAGGCAGACGGAAUUCCUAGUGUAGCGGUGAAAUGCGUAGAUAUUAGGAGGAACACCAGUGGCGAAGGCGGUCUGCUGGACAGCAACUGACGCUGAGGCGCGAAAGCGUGGGGAGCAAACAGGAUUAGAUACCCGAGUAU
RNAcentral lists this ribosomal RNA (471 nucleotides) under uncultured bacterium. RNAcentral describes it as "partial 16S ribosomal RNA". It matches the Rfam family "Bacterial small subunit ribosomal RNA", at positions 330 to 793 of the family's 1533-position model. The record is from RNAcentral.